RNAcentral lists this long non-coding RNA (574 nucleotides) under Nicotiana benthamiana. RNAcentral's name for it is "long non-coding RNA (NBEN_LNC024183)". The record is from RNAcentral. Lineage: Eukaryota; Viridiplantae; Streptophyta; Magnoliopsida; Solanales; Solanaceae.
UUCUCUUAUUUGUUUACAACUCAAUCAUAGUUACCUGUUACUUUACUUAACGUUAUUCAGUUAUAUUUAGUUAACACAUCACUAAUUGUUAUUGAAAAUAUAUGGGAAGUUGAUUACGGAGAAUUUAGUGAGUCUAACAAAAAUAAUUGGUAGGUUAAUUCUUGAGAAUUCGACUCUGGGCUAAAUACUCGAAUUAUAUUUACGACAACCGUUUUGUACUUUUUAUAAGGCAUGGCUAGACGUGAACACAAAUAAAACUCAAUCUACUUUCUAUUACAGAUUAGUUUGAGUACAUAAGUAAAAGAGCUAAAACAUAAAAGGAGAAGAAAUGCACAUCGAGUGUGCAUGACCAUUAAGGAGAGAUGAUUCCACAGCACUUGGCACAGCAUGUAACGUAGUCUACUGGUUGAUUUCCAUCACAGAUUGGGCAAGUGCACCAAAAAAUUAUGUCGAAACAAAAAGGCAGCAUCCGCAGUAUAGCAGAAAAUUGCCAUGAAUACUACUAACAAAAACAAAGUUACCAAAAGACUAGUGCUUUUCAUUGCCAUCUCUCUCUCUCUCUUUAUGGUUCUUA